This 348-nucleotide unclassified non-coding RNA is filed under the name soil metagenome. RNAcentral's name for it is "partial contains 5.8S ribosomal RNA, internal transcribed spacer 2, and large subunit ribosomal RNA". The stretch from base 1 to 120 matches the Rfam family "5.8S ribosomal RNA", at positions 35 to 154 of the family's 154-position model. The record is from RNAcentral.
GAUGAAGAACGUAGCGAAAUGCGAUAAGUAAUGUGAAUUGCAGAAUUCAGUGAAUCAUCGAAUCUUUGAACGCACAUUGCGCCCGCCAGUAUUCUGGCGGGCAUGCCUGUCUGAGCGUCAUUUCAACCCUCAUGCCCCUAGGGCGUGGUGUUGGGGAUCGGCCAAAGCCCGCGAGGGACGGCCGGCCCCUAAAUCUAGUGGCGGACCCGUCGUGGCCUCCUCUGCGAAGUAGUGACAUUCCGCAUCGGAGAGCGAUGAGCCCCUGCCGUUAAACCCCCAACUUUCCAAGGUUGACCUCAGAUCAGGUAGGAAUACCCGCUGAACUUAAGCAUAUCAAUAAGCGGAGGA